UCCAGAGGGUGCGAGCGUUAAUCGGAAUUACUGGGCGUAAAGCGCGCGUAGGCGGCUCUGCAAGUCGGGUGUGAAAUCCCCAGGCUUAACCUGGGAACUGCAUUCGAGACUGCAUUGCUAGAGUAUGGGAGAGGGAAGUGGAAUUUCCGGUGUAGCGGUGAAAUGCGUAGAUAUCGGAAGGAACAUCAGUGGCGAAAGCGACUACCUGGCCUGUUCUUGACGCUGAGGCGCGAAAGCUAGGGGAGCAAACGGG
RNAcentral lists this ribosomal RNA (253 nucleotides) under uncultured bacterium. RNAcentral's name for it is "partial 16S ribosomal RNA". It matches the Rfam family "Bacterial small subunit ribosomal RNA", at positions 524 to 776 of the family's 1533-position model. The record is from RNAcentral.